UGGGAGGUCUUGAUUGCUAGACAUGUUGCGAGAUUUCUAAUUUAGCCUAACAGCUUAUGGAGUAUGAUGAUGCAGGCCAAAAAUAUCGAUUGGAUCUCGGAGGAGGAUGUUCACAUUGGCUAGAGGAGUUCCUUCAUGUGGGAGGAGAUAUGCACUCAUGCCUCUGACAUGAUGGCUCAAAUAAGUUGGGUUAUUGGUGACAGGCGAUGACUG
RNAcentral lists this long non-coding RNA (213 nucleotides) under Elaeis guineensis (African oil palm). Its description in RNAcentral is "long non-coding RNA (EGUI_LNC017499)". The record is from RNAcentral. Lineage: Eukaryota; Viridiplantae; Streptophyta; Magnoliopsida; Arecales; Arecaceae.